CUUUAGCCCUGAUGGGAGCGGUAUCCUUUGGUGGAGUUUUAACGGAGCAAAAGAUAAAACGGACAGCAGGAACAGGG
RNAcentral lists this small RNA (77 nucleotides) under Flavobacterium enshiense DK69. RNAcentral describes it as "Flavobacterium sp. DK69 Flavo-1 RNA". It matches the Rfam family "Flavo-1 RNA". Lineage: Bacteria; Pseudomonadati; Bacteroidota; Flavobacteriia; Flavobacteriales; Flavobacteriaceae. The record is from Rfam by way of RNAcentral.